Molecule: long non-coding RNA, 470 nt
Filed under: Coturnix japonica (Japanese quail)
Lineage: Eukaryota; Metazoa; Chordata; Aves; Galliformes; Phasianidae
Description: lncRNA (ENSCJPG00005003837.1)
Source: RNAcentral
GUGCUUCAGCCUUUUAUGAGUAGGCAUUAAAUUACAUGAAUCUCCCUGUGCUGAGUCUGUUUUACCCAUGACAGUAAUUGGUGAGUGAUCUUCCUGUCCUUAUCUCAAUCCAUGAGCUCUUUUUCAUUGCAUUUUCUCCCUCUGUCUUUUUCAGGUAGGGGACUAAGAAAGCACUAUGGUAGGGCUGAACUGCCCGACUGUGUGAAACAGCUACAAGCACUUUUGGAGCUGAUGUGUUACAGACACUUUCACAGACAAGAGCUGUUUUUGACUGAGACUGGAGCCAGAAGAGACCGAGAUGGACAGAAACUGUUCUAAAAAAUGUGAGUGGCAUUUUAGUAGACAACACAAAAGUCAUUGACAUAUGAAUCACUCCUCAAGAACAGACAGCCACCCAAACGAGAAGCUUAACUCCUCGACAGCAAAAGUUAAACACAAUAAAUACCUCACUACUUGUCUGUAUAUGUUCA